UGCCAUGGCUAGAGUUUCGAACCCGGAUGCUGUGGUCUAACAUCUAGACCUUCCUUAUGGCCCCCCCACCGGGAUUAGCAUGGCCAUACCAGGAGAACCCUCUCAUAGCACAGAUAGCUAGAGUACUGGAGCAUGGAGGGAUCCAAGUUGGACAAAGGGGAGGAGCCCUUCCCGUCCAAGAGCAUGAGGGUCAAAUUCGGCUAGGCCCUCUACCAUUCGAAGCCCCACAGGAUCAGCUAGAACCUCC
RNAcentral lists this long non-coding RNA (247 nucleotides) under Prunus persica (peach). RNAcentral's name for it is "long non-coding RNA (PPER_LNC004684)". Lineage: Eukaryota; Viridiplantae; Streptophyta; Magnoliopsida; Rosales; Rosaceae. The record is from RNAcentral.